UACGUAGGGAGCAAGCGUUGUCCGGAAUCAUUGGGCGUAAAGCGCGCGUAGGCGGCCCUGUAAGUCCGCUGUGAAAGUCAAAGGCUCAACCUUUGAAAGCCGGUGGAUACUGCAGGGCUAGAGUCCGGAAGAGGCGAGUGGAAUUCCUGGUGUAGCGGGUGGAAUGCGCAGAUAUCAGGAGGAACACCAAUAGCGAAGGCAGCUCGCUGGGACGGUACUGACGCUAAGGCGCGAAAGCGUGGGGAGCGAACAGG
This 254-nucleotide ribosomal RNA is filed under the name uncultured bacterium. RNAcentral's name for it is "partial 16S ribosomal RNA". It matches the Rfam family "Bacterial small subunit ribosomal RNA", at positions 524 to 776 of the family's 1533-position model. The record is from RNAcentral.